AUUAGAGUUUGAUCAUGGCUCAGGACGAACGCUGGCGGCGUGCCUAAUACAUGCAAGUCGAGCGGACCGACGGGAGCUUGCUCCCUUAGGUCAGCGGCGGACGGGUGAGUAACACGUGGGUAACCUGCCUGUAAGACUGGGAUAACUCCGGGAAACCGGGGCUAAUACCGGAUGCUUGUUUGAACCGCAUGGUUCAAACAUAAAAGGUGGCUUUUCGCUAUCACUUACAGAUGGACCCGCGGCGCAUUAGCUAGUUGGUGGGGUAACGGCUCACCAAGGCGACGAUGCGUAGCCGACCUGAGAGGGUGAUCGGCCACACUGGGACUGAGACACGGCCCAGACUCCUACGGGAGGCAGCAGUAGGGAAUCUUCCGCAAUGGACGAAAGUCUGACGGAGCAACGCCGCGUGAGUGAUGAAGGUUUUCGGAUCGUAAAACUCUGUUGUUAGGGAAGAACAAGUACCGUUCGAACAGGGCGGUACCUUGACGGUACCUAACCAGAAAGCCACGGCUAACUACGUGCCAGCAGCCGCGGUAAUACGUAGGUGGCAAGCGUUGUCCGGAAUUAUUGGGCGUAAAGCGCGCGCAGGCGGUUUCUUAAGUCUGAUGUGAAAGCCCCCGGCUCAACCGGGGAGGGUCAUUGGAAACUGGGGAACUUGAGUGCAGAAGAGGAGAGUGGAAUUCCACGUGUAGCGGUGAAAUGCGUAGAGAUGUGGAGGAACACCAGUGGCGAAGGCGACUCUCUGGUCUGUAACUGACGCUGAGGCGCGAAAGCGUGGGGAGCGAACAGGAUUAGAUACCCUGGUAGUCCACGCCGUAAACGAUGAGUGCUAAGUGUUAGAGGGUUUCCGCCCUUUAGUGCUGCAGCAAACGCAUUAAGCACUCCGCCUGGGGAGUACGGUCGCAAGACUGAAACUCAAAGGAAUUGACGGGGGCCCGCACAGGCGGUGGAGCAUGUGGUUUAAUUCGAAGCAACGCGAAGAACCUUACCAGG
This 993-nucleotide ribosomal RNA is filed under the name Bacillus licheniformis. RNAcentral's name for it is "bacterial SSU rRNA". It matches the Rfam family "Bacterial small subunit ribosomal RNA", at positions 1 to 978 of the family's 1533-position model. Lineage: Bacteria; Bacillati; Bacillota; Bacilli; Caryophanales; Bacillaceae. The record is from RNAcentral.